CUGUUCCCUGUGAUUGGCUGGCAAGCAGUUCAGAGUGUACCCUGCCUCCUGCCUGUUGACAGCUCCAGCACUCCUGCAACCCUUGUGAGGAAAAGCAGUUAAGAAAAUGGAUGGGACACCAUUUCCAGCAAGACAGCAGCUCUGCUUGGGUUGACACCGGUGUUGCUGCCUGGAGGCAAACACUGGUUGGAUUUUGGAUGGCCACCAAAACACCUUGAGCUGGCCACCUCAUACAAGUAAUUCCAGGCUCAAGAAACUGGGAGGAUUUUCAGGAUAUCCGCAGUGCGGGGGGAGUGAUGUUAGUGAAUAGAAAAUACAUCCACACGAACACGAGAAACAAAGCAACCUAAAGAGAGAGAGCAGACAGCAUCUAACAACUGCAGCCGCAAAGCAAAUAUGACUUACCGGCAGCGAGGUGACCGGAGAAGAAGAGCAAAGGAGAAGAGGACCCGUUGCCUGCUGGUGGAACUAACAGCAGCGAUUUUUUAUUUUCUCUUUCUCCCUCAUUCCUUCGUCGUUCAAAGUAACGUCUACUCGACGGGCACGUGAUGUGUGGAACAGUAAUCGAGUCUACCCCGAAAACAUCUCAUCCCCCACAAAAUUACUUGUAGGUUAUUAAAACAUGAACCGGCAUGAACAAUUUAGUAAAAAAAAAAAAAAGUGGCAGUGGCGCUAGCAGCAUCUCACCGUCUGGUCGGCGACUCAGUCGUUGCAAUCCCACUGCCUGUUUUGGCAGCUCCUCACCGGCUCAAGCCGGUAUUUAAACGCGAGCGCGCAAAUCUCUCAGUCAUGAACGGGCAGAGCUCAGUGAUC
Syngnathoides biaculeatus (alligator pipefish) is the source of this 813-nucleotide long non-coding RNA. RefSeq lists it as uncharacterized. NCBI's taxonomy places the organism in Eukaryota, Metazoa, Chordata, Actinopteri, Syngnathiformes, Syngnathidae. The transcript is spliced from 4 exons. The record is from RefSeq and is a predicted model, not a curated record.